This 835-nucleotide long non-coding RNA is filed under the name Medicago truncatula (barrel medic). Its description in RNAcentral is "long non-coding RNA (MTRU_LNC001747)". Lineage: Eukaryota; Viridiplantae; Streptophyta; Magnoliopsida; Fabales; Fabaceae. The record is from RNAcentral.
CUCUCGAAUAAAGUGAACAAGUAGAAAAUAAAAACAUUGUAGGACUACAUGAUAUCAAUCAUCUCGUUUUUUAAGCCAUGCUAUAUUUCAUCGUUAAUAUCUACAAAUAUUUCCUUUCCCAAUAAGUCUAAGAAAUAAUGGUUGGAUCAUACACAACCUUGUAAAACCAGCUUUCGAUAUGUGAGAUGUCCACACUCAGGGGCGGUUCUAAGGCCCGGCGACCCCGGGCAUUCGCCCGGAUUCCGGGCCAAUUUUUUUGCAAUUUUUUGUGUAAAUUCCUAUGAAUUUUUUAUAUAAAUCCCUAUAAAUUGGACAAUUUCUUUACAUUUUUUAUUAUUUGCUUGCAAUUUCUUUACAUUUUUUAUUAUUUGCUUGCAAUUUCUUAUGUACGCCCUAUAAAUGUGUUGCAAUUUUUUUUUUGCCCGGGCUUUACAAUAUUUCUGGCUCCGCCACUGUCCACACUUAUAAACAAAUUGUCAGAUCAUCUUGUAUUUGAUACGAAACUCUUUAACACACCCUCUCACAUUCAGGAUCUGACAUAUGAAGCCAGAAUAUAAAUGGUGGGUGGUUCAAUAGCAAAAUCUUGUUAGCAGACUGUCCAAUAUAUCUUGAACCAGACUCAGAUACCAUUUUAGAAAUUGUAUUUGAGUUUACACAACCCUACAAAAUUAGUUUGUGAAAUAAAGAUUACCCUUAGUUAUAAAGACAUUCUCAAACGGUCUUAAGCUCAAAAAGCAUAGGUGUAAAAAGACAUGUGAGAACAAGAGAGUACAAAUAUAGGGUCCAAACCCAUAUGAUGAUUCUAUGGCCCUAUUAGUAACAGGCCUGUGGCAAU